This 993-nucleotide long non-coding RNA is filed under the name Anser brachyrhynchus (Pink-footed goose). RNAcentral's name for it is "lncRNA (ENSABRG00000003614.1)". The record is from RNAcentral. Lineage: Eukaryota; Metazoa; Chordata; Aves; Anseriformes; Anatidae.
UUUGCUCCUUCUGAAGCCUCUAUAUAUGAAGGGUUAUUUAUUGUGGCACUAGCACUUGCUAAAACUUAAUGGGAAAAAAAUAUUGUAAGCAUCACCAUGGUAUUUGUCACAGUUGCAAGUAAUAAUUUUGUUUCCAAAAUCUGUCUGCUCAUUCUUCUUCUUUUUCCUCCCCCCCCCCUUUUUUUUUUCUUCAGAAAAGAUGCCCUGCUGAUAUGAAAAUUGCAUAUGCUGCACUUGGAUGGACAGAUUAAAAACACCCAGAACCAAGCUUAUUCAUGGAGGAACCAGGUGAAAUUUCCUAUUCAGGUAUGUGCCGCAUGGUGUAUUGAGGGUAGAUACAAACUCUGCUCAUGCUCUGAGGUGACCAAAAUCUGUAUGACCAGAGGAGUGUGCUGCAGCAUACUGGCAGUGAGCACCAGCUGGAGGCUCCUCUGGAUCCAUGCAUCCCACCUGGAAUUCAGGCACAGCUCACACAAUGAUGUGAUGGGCAGCAGGGCUGUAGCUAUGAUUAAAGACUGAUUGCUAACCCAGUUCCUGUCUGCAGGAUUAGGUAAGUCAGCAUGGGCUGCAAAAACGAGCAUUUUGCCAUGAGUCCCCUUGGCAUGGCCUGAUGAUGUCUGGUGGUCCUCUGCAACAGCCGUCAGGCAGAGGUCAGAUCCAAACUUCUUCACAUCCUGGCAGCCUGGAUCGCGGGCUGAUUUACCUUCUCCUGUUUGCAGGAGGUUUAUGUAGAUAGAUCCCAAGGGACAAGCUACAUGCUCUUCUCUGUCCUCAGGCACAUUCCUGAAAGUCCCCUGUACAUCCACCUGGGCCACCUUGCCAUCGGGACUGGGACUGCUUGUCACACAGCAACAGACACCUUUCCUCCGAGGGGUUUUGAGUGCUUCUUUGGAGACAACUCCAAUCCUGAGAUGCUGCAAUGACCACAAGGCUUUCUUUAAAAAAAACAAACAACACACAUUACCUAAUCAUAACUGUGAAGGAAAGAAGGUA